AUGGGAAAUCUGUGAAGCUCAGGAGGGAUAGCACCAUGGAGAGACUAUCUUCAUGAGCUUAAAACUGCGAUCCGUUGCGCUAUCCAUCCUGAGUUUCAUGGCUUCUUUCU
Molecule: microRNA precursor, 110 nt
Organism: Nicotiana attenuata
Lineage: Eukaryota; Viridiplantae; Streptophyta; Magnoliopsida; Solanales; Solanaceae
Rfam family: MIR390 microRNA precursor family
Source: Rfam